CAUAGGUUGAAUAGAAAUGAAGUCCAUUGCUCUCUUCAAAGUUAAUUUUGUUGUUUGCUCAGUUUCUAUGCUCUUUGUUGGGCUCUGAUGUAUACAUGUGCCUCAUGCUGAUUGGGCUUGGUACAUCAUUUGUGCUCAGGUGCUCCAAGGUAGAAAUCAUAUGAGGGAACUCACAUUGUUUAGCCUGGAGAAAAGGAGGCUCAGGAAGACCUUAUUGCUCUUCAAUUACCUGAAGGGGAGUUGUAGCAAGGAAGGGUAAUAAAGCAUUGGAGUGGGCUCUCUAGGGAUGUGGUGUAGCUGCCAUACCUGGAGGUGUUCAAGAUAUGACUGGAUGUGGUACUUAAUGCCAUGGUCUAUUUGACAAGCUUUUUACUGCUAUGCUGAACCUUGGAAGUACCAUGAUAGUGUCACAACUGAUGGCAAAGAAAAGAGGAUACCUAUUUCAAGAUGCAUAAAGAUAACGUGCAUGAGAGAAUAUGAUUGUUACAACUUGAUGUUACUAAUGACAAAUAGUGUAAAUGACAUGUUAUUUCCCACAACAUUGCAUUUUCAAUAGGAAAGUUGUUUAAGUUGCUGCUAAAACUGGUAUCACACAGUCAUAAAAUGGUUUGAGUUGGAAGGAACUUACAGAUCAUCUAGUUUCAACCCUCUCACUGAUAUAAAAUUAUCAGAAUACAAAAGUUCAGAAAUGACAAUCCAUUGUAACAUUUCAAUCAAUAUGUUAAAUUCCUAUACAGAGAUAGCUGAAACAUUAAUAAAUUUCAUCAAAAUAAAUGAAUUGUUUAUAGUUUAUAGGAUUAUAUUUGUACAUAAGAAUUCUCUCAGUCCUGUUUCUGUCAAAGUUCUUUGCUUACUUUCUGCCAGGCAGAAAGUUUAUAUUACUUAAUAUAUUAUUACCCCUUGCUUCAGACCCCAUGCAAUGAUUAUUAAUUUUUCACAGCAGGCAGUUACAGUGCAUUCUCCCAAGAAUAGUUUGAUACAUAGAUGUUAAUAAAGUUCCCUGGCCCAAAGGAAUUUUCCAUUGCCCAUAUCACUACAAAACAAAAGCUUCUGGAUAACAGUAUUAAAAGUACAUAUGCAAAAUUGUAAAUUACAAAGCUAAAUAAUUAAUUCUUUUUUGCUGCACUCCUAGAAAUACAUAUCUUUUAUAUUCUAGAAUAGAGUAGAAGUAUAUGCUGACUUUGCUGGCUCUAAGUGACAGGUGGAUAAAGUAUCAUUUCUCAAUCUGAAACUAACACAGAAUUCCCUAUUGCUUUAAGGAAAGUAAUACAACAAAUACAAAAAUAAUCAACAGAAGGAGUUUCUCUCUUUCUGUGCUCUUUUAUUCAUAGAUAACAAUAA
This is a long non-coding RNA of Passer domesticus (house sparrow), 1341 nucleotides long. RefSeq lists it as uncharacterized. The transcript is spliced from 4 exons. NCBI's taxonomy places the organism in Eukaryota, Metazoa, Chordata, Aves, Passeriformes, Passeridae. The record is from RefSeq and is a predicted model, not a curated record.